GAUGAACGCUGGCGGCGUGCCUAAUACAUGCAAGUCGAGCGAACAGACGAGGAGCUUGCUCCUCUGACGUUAGCGGCGGACGGGUGAGUAACACGUGGAUAACCUACCUAUAAUACUGGGAUAACUUCGGGAAACCGGAGCUAAUACCGGAUAAUAUAUUGAACCGCAUGGUUCAAUAGUGAAAGACGGUUUUGCUGUCACUUAUAGAUGGAUCCGCGCCGCAUUAGCUAGUUGGUAAGGUAACGGCUUACCAAGGCAACGAUGCGUAGCCGACCUGAGAGGGUGAUCGGCCACACUGGAAGUGAGACACGGUCCAGACUCCUACGGGAGGCAGCAGUAGGGAAUCUUCCGCAAUGGGCGAAAGCCUGACGGAGCAACGCCGCGUGAGUGAUGACGGUCUUCGGAUCGUAAAACUCUGUUAUUAGGGAAGAACAAAUGUGUAAGUAACUAUGCACGUCUUGACGGUACCUAAUCAGAAAGCCACGGCUAACUACGUG
This 497-nucleotide ribosomal RNA is filed under the name uncultured bacterium. RNAcentral's name for it is "partial 16S ribosomal RNA". It matches the Rfam family "Bacterial small subunit ribosomal RNA", at positions 28 to 507 of the family's 1533-position model. The record is from RNAcentral.